RNAcentral lists this ribosomal RNA (245 nucleotides) under uncultured Lachnospiraceae bacterium. RNAcentral describes it as "partial 16S ribosomal RNA". It matches the Rfam family "Bacterial small subunit ribosomal RNA", at positions 524 to 768 of the family's 1533-position model. Lineage: Bacteria; Bacillati; Bacillota; Clostridia; Lachnospirales; Lachnospiraceae. The record is from RNAcentral.
UACGUAGGGGGCAAGCGUUAUCCGGAUUUACUGGGUGUAAAGGGGGCGCAGACGGAAAUGCAAGCCAGAUGUGAAAGCCCGGGGCUCAGCCUUGGGAGUGCAUUUGGAACUGUGUAUCUAGAGUACUGGAGAGGUAAGCGGAAUUCCUGGUGUAGCGGUGAAAUGCGUAGAUAUCAGGAAGAACACCGGUGGCGAAGGCGGCUUACUGGACAGAGACUGACGUUGAGGCCCGAAAGCGUGGGGAG